This 338-nucleotide long non-coding RNA is filed under the name Musa acuminata (dwarf banana). RNAcentral's name for it is "long non-coding RNA (MACU_LNC008046)". Lineage: Eukaryota; Viridiplantae; Streptophyta; Magnoliopsida; Zingiberales; Musaceae. The record is from RNAcentral.
GGGAGAGUCGCCUCGAUCUCUCGGUAUGUCGUUGUUCAUAGCUCUAUCCAUCUCGCUUCCUUGCGACUGGGACCGGUCGACCUCCUCUUACGGUACCUGAAAAUCUGGUCUUUCUUGUUGAUCGAGGCAAUUUGCCGGGAUUUGAAUUGUUCUUGAGAAUCAAUUGCGAACCUUUGCGUCGGUCAUUCGAAUCUCGUUCUUGAUUGGCUUUUCGAACACUCCGGUAGUAAACCCUCGAUCUCUGCGGCGCGAAGAUCUUGAUUCUCGGAUCACCAACCUUUGCACCCGCUCGAAAUCCUCGUUCCCUUUGUCUACUCCUCUGUUUCCUUUUCGUGGGG